GACGAACCGUGCGAACGUUAUUCGGAAUCACUGGGCUUAAAGCGCACGUAGGCGGCUCUUUAAGUCGGGGGUGAAAUCCUGGAGCUCAACUCCAGAACUGCCUCGAUACUGGAGAGCUUGAGUUCGGGAGAGGUGAGUGGAACUGCGAGUGUAGAGGUGAAAUUCGUAGAUAUUCGCAAGAACACCAGUGGCGAAGGCGGCUCACUGGCCCGAUACUGACGCUGAGGUGCGAAAGCGUGGGAGCAAACAGG
This 251-nucleotide ribosomal RNA is filed under the name uncultured bacterium. RNAcentral describes it as "partial 16S ribosomal RNA". It matches the Rfam family "Bacterial small subunit ribosomal RNA", at positions 524 to 776 of the family's 1533-position model. The record is from RNAcentral.